ACUCCUACGGGAGGCAGCAGUGGGGAAUAUUGCACAAUGGGCGCAAGCCUGAUGCAGCGACGCCGCGUGGGGGAUGAAGGCCUUCGGGUUGUAAACUCCUUUCGCUAGGGACGAAGCUUUUUUGUGACGGUACCUAGAUAAGAAGCACCGGCUAACUACGUGCCAGCAGCCGCGGUAAUACGUAGGGUGCGAGCGUUGUCCGGAAUUACUGGGCGUAAAGGGCUCGUAGGUGGUUUGUCGCGUCGUCUGUGAAAUUCUGGGGCUUAACUCCGGGCGUGCAGGCGAUACGGGCAUAACUUGAGUGCUGUAGGGGUAACUGGAAUUCCUGGUGUAGCGGUGAAAUGCGCAGAUAUCAGGAGGAACACCGAUGGCGAAGGCAGGUUACUGGGCAGUUACUGACGCUGAGGAGCGAAAGCAUGGGUAGCGAACAGGAUUAGAAACCCCAGUAGUCCCAUG
Molecule: ribosomal RNA, 456 nt
Filed under: uncultured organism
Description: partial 16S ribosomal RNA
Rfam family: Bacterial small subunit ribosomal RNA
Source: RNAcentral